Molecule: small nuclear RNA, 164 nt
Filed under: Suricata suricatta (meerkat)
Lineage: Eukaryota; Metazoa; Chordata; Mammalia; Carnivora; Herpestidae
Description: U2 spliceosomal RNA (ENSSSUG00005003496.1)
Rfam family: U2 spliceosomal RNA
About the family: U2 is a small nuclear RNA (snRNA) component of the spliceosome (involved in pre-mRNA splicing). Complementary binding between U2 snRNA (in an area lying towards the 5' end but 3' to hairpin I) and the branchpoint sequence (BPS) of the intron results the bulging out of an unpaired adenosine, on the BPS, which initiates a nucleophilic attack at the intronic 5' splice site, thus starting the first of two transesterification reactions that mediate splicing.
Source: Rfam by way of RNAcentral
AUUGCUUCUUGGCCUUUAGGCUAAGAUCAAGUGUAGUAUCUGUUCUUAUCAGUUUAAUAAAAAAAUAGAUUAAAAUAAAGUAAAAUCUUCAAAAAAAGAGGUUUCAGGGCGCCUGGGUGGCUCAGUCGGUUAAGCCUCCGACUUCGGCUCAGGUCAGAUCUCAC